GUGUUUGUAGGUCAGUGACAGAGUGCUUGCCUAGUAUGUAUGAGACACUGGGUUCGAUCCUCAGCACCACA
This 71-nucleotide transfer RNA is filed under the name Marmota monax (woodchuck). RNAcentral's name for it is "tRNA.Thr". The record is from RNAcentral. Lineage: Eukaryota; Metazoa; Chordata; Mammalia; Rodentia; Sciuridae.